RNAcentral lists this ribosomal RNA (460 nucleotides) under uncultured bacterium. RNAcentral describes it as "partial 16S ribosomal RNA". It matches the Rfam family "Bacterial small subunit ribosomal RNA", at positions 338 to 795 of the family's 1533-position model. The record is from RNAcentral.
CCUACGGGAGGCAGCAGUGAGGAAUAUUGGUCAAUGGGCGGAAGCCUGAACCAGCCAAGUAGCGUGCGGGAUGAAGGCCCUACGGGUCGUAAACCGCUUUUGCACGGGGAUAACACCCUCCACUUGUGGAGGUCUGCAGGUACCGUGCGAAUAAGGAUCGGCUAACUCCGUGCCAGCAGCCGCGGUAAUACGGAGGAUCCGAGCGUUAUCCGGAUUUAUUGGGUUUAAAGGGAGCGUAGGCGGGUUGUUAAGUCAGUUGUGAAAGUUUGCGGCUCAACCGUAAAAUUGCAGUUGAUACUGGCAUCCUUGAGUACAGUAGAGGUAGGCGGAAUUCGUGGUGUAGCGGUGAAAUGCUUAGAUAUCACGAAGAACUCCGAUUGCGAAGGCAGCCUGUUGGACUGUAACUGACGCUGAUGCUCGAAAGUGUGGGUAUCAAACAGGAUUAGAUACCCGAGUAGUC